Molecule: ribosomal RNA, 1354 nt
Filed under: uncultured bacterium
Lineage: Bacteria
Description: bacterial SSU rRNA
Rfam family: Bacterial small subunit ribosomal RNA
Source: RNAcentral
GACGAACGCUGGUUGCGUGCUUAACACAUGCAAGUCGAACGCUGAAGCCCUCAGCUUGCUGGGGGUGGAUGAGUGGCGAACGGGUGAGUAACACGUGAGUAACCUGCCCCUGACUUCGGGAUAAGCCCGGGAAACUGGGUCUAAUACCGGAUAUGACCGUUCCUCGCAUGAGGGAUGGUGGAAAGUUGUUUCGGUUGGGGAUGGGCUCGCGGCCUAUCAGCUAGAUGGUGGGGUAAUGGCCCACCAUGGCGACGACGGGUAGCCGGCCUGAGAGGGCGACCGGCCACACUGGGACUGAGACACGGCCCAGACUCCUACGGGAGGCAGCAGUGGGGAAUAUUGCACAAUGGGGGAAACCCUGAUGCAGCGACGCAGCGUGCGGGAUGACGGCCUUCGGGUUGUAAACCGCUUUCAGCAGGGAAGAAGCCACCUUUGGUGGUGACGGUACCUGCAGAAGAAGUACCGGCUAACUACGUGCCAGCAGCCGCGGUAAUACGUAAGGUACGAGCGUUGUCCGGAUUUAUGGGCGUAAAGAGCUCGUAGGUGGUUGGUCACGUCUGCUGUGGAAACGCAACGCUUAACGUUGCGCGUGCAGUGGGUACGGGCUGACUAGAGUGCAGUAGGGGAGUCUGGAAUUCCUGGUGUAGCGGUGAAAUGCGCAGAUAUCAGGAGGAACACCGGUGGCGAAGGCGGGACUCUGGGCUGUAACUGACACUGAGGAGCGAAAGCAUGGGGAGCGAACAGGAUUAGAUACCCUGGUAGUCCAUGCCGUAAACGUUGGGCACUAGGUGUGGGGGACAUUCCACGUUCUCCGCGCCGUAGCUAACGCAUUAAGUGCCCCGCCUGGGGAGUACGGUCGCAAGGCUAAAACUCAAAGGAAUUGACGGGGGCCCGCACAAGCGGCGGAGCAUGCGGAUUAAUUCGAUGCAACGCGAAGAACCUUACCAAGGCUUGACAUACACCAGAUCGGGCUGGAAACAGUCCUUCCCCUUUGGGGUUGGUGUACAGGUGGUGCAUGGUUGUCGUCAGCUCGUGUCGUGAGAUGUUGGGUUAAGUCCCGCAACGAGCGCAACCCUCGUUCUAUGUUGCCAGCACGUGAUGGUGGGAACUCAUAGGAGACUGCCGGGGUCAACUCGGAGGAAGGUGGGGAUGACGUCAAAUCAUCAUGCCCUUUAUGUCUUGGGCUUCACGCAUGCUACAAUGGCUGGUACAGAGAGAUGCGAGACCGUGAGGUUUUAGCGAAUCCCUUAAAGCCAGUCUCAGUUCGGAUCGUAGUCUGCAAUUCGACUACGUGAAGUCGGAGUCGCUAGUAAUCGCAGAUCAGCAACGCUGCGGUGAAUACGUUCCCGGGCCU